CCUACGGGUGGCUGCAGUGAGGAAUAUUGGUCAAUGGGCGAAAGCCUGAACCAGCCAUGCCGCGUGCAGGAUGACGGCUCUAUGGGUUGUAAACUGUUUUUGUACGGGGGUAAAACUCGUUACGUGUACGUCGUUGCCAGCAUCUUACGAAUAAGGAUCGGCCAAUUCCGUGCCAGCAGCGGAGGUGAUACGUAGGUGUCAAGCGUUUUCCGGAUUUACUGGGUGUAAGGGGAGAGUAGGCGGGAAGGCAAGUCUGCUGUGAAAGCCCGCGGCUCAACCGCGGAACUGCAUUGGAAACUGGCGGGCUGGAGUGCGGGAAAGGUAGGCGGAAUUCGUAGUGUAGCGGUGAAAUGCGUAGAUAUGAGGAAGAACACCAGUGGCGAAGGCGGCUUACUGGACGGGAACUGACGCUGAGGCUCGAAAGCGUGGGGAGCAAACAGGAUUAGAUACCCUAGUAGUC
This 460-nucleotide ribosomal RNA is filed under the name uncultured bacterium. RNAcentral's name for it is "partial 16S ribosomal RNA". It matches the Rfam family "Bacterial small subunit ribosomal RNA", at positions 338 to 795 of the family's 1533-position model. The record is from RNAcentral.